Gallus gallus (chicken) is the source of this 591-nucleotide long non-coding RNA. RefSeq lists it as uncharacterized. The record is from RefSeq and is a predicted model, not a curated record. The transcript is spliced from 2 exons. NCBI's taxonomy places the organism in Eukaryota, Metazoa, Chordata, Aves, Galliformes, Phasianidae.
GCACUGCCUCUCGCAUCCAUCGGCAGCACGUUCCUUCUCUCUCCUUGCCUCCUGGCGCUUUGCUGUCCCCCAGGGCUCACUAAGUCCAAAUGUUCCCUGAUGGAGUCCAACUCCAGCUUGACCAGCACUCACCCAGUCUGUCCCAGCACCAGCUGGCUUAGGGCUCUCCAGUACUGCUGGAUGUCACUGCCUUCUGUUGCUCCCUGUCAACAUGGUGGUGUUCGUUCUUUUUAGGUUCAGUAACGUGUCUUCUUGUUAUGCAGUGUUACUCUUCUCUGUUUUCUUGUGUUUCAUGUUGCCUGUCAAUGCCUCUUUGGAGAUACACUGAGUGUAAUGUAAACUGAUGUUCUUUGACCAUGUGUGAUGGAAAAUGAAGAUGUAGGCUCCACUACAGCUAUCGUAUCCACUGUCCUAGUCGAAGUGGGAAGGACCAUUUUGACUAUUUGUCAACACCCACAUGGCAAUCUGAAUUUAGGAGCCGCUUUCACAGAUGCGUCGCUGCAGGGCAAAGAAGGCCUCAAAACUUCAGCAGACCUGUACCCCCAAGAGAACUCUGAAACUUAUGUUAAGAAAAUAAAUGUCUUAAUAUUU